Molecule: ribosomal RNA, 537 nt
Filed under: uncultured archaeon
Lineage: Archaea
Description: bacterial SSU rRNA
Rfam family: Archaeal small subunit ribosomal RNA
Source: RNAcentral
AGCCGCGGUAAUACCGGCGGCUCGAGUGGUGGCCACUAUUACUGGGCUUAAAGCGUCCGUAGCUUGGUUGUUAAGUCUCUUGGGAAAUCUGUCGGCUUAACCGACAGGCGUUUAAGGGAUACUGGCAAUCUAGGGACCGGGAGAGGUGAGAGGUACUCCAGGGGUAGGAGUGAAAUCCUGUAAUCCUUGGGGGACCACCUGUGGCGUAGGCGUCUCACCAGAACGGCUCCGACAGUGAGGGACGAAAGCUGGGGGAGCAAACCGGAUUAGAUACCCGGGUAGUCCCAGCCGUAAACGAUGCGCGUUAGGUGUAUCGGUGACCACGAGUCACCGAGGUGCCGAAGGGAAACCGUGAAACGUGCCGCCUGGGAAGUACGGUCGCAAGGCUGAAACUUAAAGGAAUUGGCGGGGGAGCACCACAACAGGUGGAGCCUGCGGUUUAAUCGGACUCAACGCCGGAAACCUCACCGGAUAAGACAGCGGGAUGAUAGCCAGGCUGAAGACUUUGCUUGACUAGCUGAGAGGUGGUGCAUGGCC